GGCCCAGUAGGCCAACUGGUAGAGCCAUCAGACUUAAACCCUGUAAAGUGAAAGUUCGAAUCUUUCCUGGGCUA
RNAcentral lists this transfer RNA (74 nucleotides) under Crassvirales sp. RNAcentral's name for it is "tRNA-Leu". It matches the Rfam family "tRNA". Rfam says of the family: Transfer RNA (tRNA) molecules are approximately 80 nucleotides in length. Their secondary structure includes four short double-helical elements and three loops (D, anti-codon, and T loops). Further hydrogen bonds mediate the characteristic L-shaped molecular structure. tRNAs have two regions of fundamental functional importance: the anti-codon, which is responsible for specific mRNA codon recognition, and the 3' end, to which the tRNAs corresponding amino acid is attached (by aminoacyl-tRNA synthetases). tRNAs cope with the degeneracy of the genetic code in two manners: having more than one tRNA (with a specific anti-codon) for a particular amino acid; and 'wobble' base-pairing, i.e. permitting non-standard base-pairing at the 3rd anti-codon position. Lineage: Duplodnaviria; Heunggongvirae; Uroviricota; Caudoviricetes; Crassvirales. The record is from RNAcentral. RNAcentral also lists the same sequence under 1 other name.